This is a non-coding RNA of Lonchura striata (white-rumped munia), 472 nucleotides long. NCBI's taxonomy places the organism in Eukaryota, Metazoa, Chordata, Aves, Passeriformes, Estrildidae. The record is from RefSeq and is a predicted model, not a curated record.
UCAAUGCGACCGCUUAGGAUGGAAGCCCUUCAAAUUAUCCCCGCGUGCUCUGACGGAUUUCUACGGCACUUGGCAAAAAAUUCUGUACUUUUCCAGAUGAGAAAGAAAGAAAAAGCGCCUCUCUGCCUCCUCGCCUCUGCAAGCGCCGUCUCAUUCCGAAGGAGGCAGGCACGGAGGUUCCGGGCUGUCACUUGGCGAGCUCAUUCCUGGGGUUCCAGUAGCAUCUGGAAGAUGUGAACAAGCCAGCUCUCCCCAUUAGGUGGUUCUGUGAGCACAGGAUCACAGGGAAAAGGAAUUUCCUCUGGAUAUUUGAUAAGAAGACUGAAGACUUAAGUCAGAUGUCUAUACAUUUUUCCAGUUUUUUCAACAACUUGGAGUGGGAUUAGAUUAGACUCUCUCCCAGGAAAAUACUGAAAAACAAUUUCAUCAAAAGGACAUGAUUUCAAUAUAAAAGAAAGUACUAACCCAAGGU